CGCCAGUGUUGUUUAGACCCUAAGUUUAUAGGGAUAGUCUAACUCUCUGGAGGGUGUGGGAUACGCUUAAAUAACCUGUGUGCCUUGGGUCACCGUGGGAUUAAGCCAUCAUGGCAGAUACCCACGCUAAACCCUUAACAUAAUAUACUCUAAACUUUGUGUAUUAUUAAUUAGCAUCAAAUUCGAACUCGAUCUGUUAGCUGGAUGUCUUAAAAAAUCUCUCUUUGCCGUAAAAAUAACGUUAUCGUCUACGAAUUCGACAAAACCAUUGGAAGGUAUUGCAUGCAAAUUAAUAUUAAAAGUGGCCUAAAUCGAUCGGUACAACAAAAGAACAAAUUAUUAAUUUUUUUUUUUUUUUCGCUUUUGCCCAUUAAAUUUGCUCUAACUGUACAAUAAAAAUAAAUAUUUAUAAAUUCUAAUUUUAAAAUGAAGAUGACUGGCACAGAAAAUUCGCCUAAAGCCAAAUAUGAUUUUCUUACAUUGGACUUUACUUACUUUUGCUUUUAUUGAUAUGUUAUUUUAUAUGAAAUUUAUUUACAUCAUUUUGUAUAAAAUUUUCGAGUAGCAGAGACAUUUCAGCACCUGACCUCCAAACCUAUAUGUUAUAUACGUUGUAGGUAAAUUUUGAGUUUGCAAUAUGAACACCUUUCCUUUUCACAUUUUUUUUUUUUUUUUGCUUGCUGUUCUCACUGCACGACGGCUUAUUUCGCUGAAAUCGAUUCUUAUAAGUUUGCGCAGAUAAAACAAAAUACGAGGUAUAUAACAUACUUGUGCCCGCGCUUUUUUCGAUCCUUUUCUGAUAUGCGUUUUUUUUGGCACAGCCUGGAGCUUCACCAGUGAUGCGUUCGCUAUCAUCUCCAUCGUUUCAGAGGUAUUCUCGGUUUCAGAAUUAGGAAAAGGUCGCAGGAAGCCAA
This is a long non-coding RNA of Glossina fuscipes, 914 nucleotides long. RefSeq lists it as uncharacterized. The transcript has 2 exons. NCBI's taxonomy places the organism in Eukaryota, Metazoa, Arthropoda, Insecta, Diptera, Glossinidae. The record is from RefSeq and is a predicted model, not a curated record.